RNAcentral lists this long non-coding RNA (213 nucleotides) under Ananas comosus (pineapple). RNAcentral describes it as "long non-coding RNA (ACOM_LNC024898)". The record is from RNAcentral. Lineage: Eukaryota; Viridiplantae; Streptophyta; Magnoliopsida; Poales; Bromeliaceae.
UGGAAGCGUAAUUUGUUCUAUACCAAUUGUUGAAAGCAUGAUUUACUCUGAUACCAAUUGUUAGAACUGGUAUUUGUAUUGAUACCGAUUAUAUAACCCAAGAUCUAAAAUAGAAUAAAAUAAUAUGGAAAAAGAUAUUGGAGGAGAAAAAAAUAAUUAAACUAAUACUUUAUUAAUAAAAAGUAAUUAAUUACAUUCCGAGCAAUAUCUAUA